RNAcentral lists this long non-coding RNA (4034 nucleotides) under Homo sapiens (human). Its description in RNAcentral is "HSALNT0143082". The record is from RNAcentral. Lineage: Eukaryota; Metazoa; Chordata; Mammalia; Primates; Hominidae.
UCUCUCCUUUCCCCAGAAGAGAUAUGAGGACUCAGGCUUUGAGAUGCACUGGGGGCAGAAUGCUUUGGUUCACCUGAAAUGGCUUUUCAGAGGAGGUACAGCUGUUCGAUGUGUUACGGCCCCAUCCAGUCCCCUGUGAAAGAGGCUGCAGCAUUUCCUCACUGCCUAUUUAGCCACACCCCGCCAGGACAGAGCGUAACCUAGCAGCUUCCGGAUUUAAUGCAUGGAAUGAUCAACAGGCUGCAAGAGGAAGUGACUGGGCCAGGGGCCCAGAGUCACAAGCUCAUUCAGUCCUAGGCCUUGUAAAUUCCAAGUCCCUGGCCAUGGAUGAGCCUUGGACUGCUUUUCUCAAGCCCUAGAGGUGAAGUCAGCCACCUUCCAUAUCCUAGGCUCAUGCAGGGUGCUGGGACAUUGAUAACUCAGACCACUUCCUGCCCUUGAAAGGCUGAGAAGAAAAUUCGUUUUACCGCAAUGCAGAGGUCUCAGACCAUCAGUUGCACAGCAUAGAAGAGAUUAGAAUCCUGAAUAUGCCCUUUGCACCUGGAAAGACCCUUGUUUGACUCCAGAAAACCCUCCAGGGCUCCUUUACCAAGUACCAGCUCAUAGAAACAGCUAAAGAAAAAUCUAUUAAAGUCAUUUAUUUACAAUCAUAGAAAUUUUAGAGCUAGAGGAAAAUUCAAGGUAAUCUGGUCCCAAACUGUUAGUUCACAGGAGAGGAAGCUAGAUCUACAAUUACACAAUUAUACCAUCACUGUGGUGUGCAAACUGUCCCCAAGACUGUCAUCUUAAUAAUGCAUGUCAUUUGCUGUUGGAAAAAAAAAAUACAUUGAAUAUUUAGGUGAGGCCCCAAGCUACACAUACCAUGAUCACAUUCGAUCCUCCCAAUAGUAAAAUGGGUGUGUUUAUUCCAUCUAAUAAAUGAGGAAACAGAAGCACAGAGACAUUAAGUGACAUGCUCAAGGUCACACAGCUGGUAAAUGAUGGAUUAAGGAUUUGAACUCAGACUCAAUUGUUUUCAAAGCAUCUAUUCCAAUGAGAAUGAAAAUGUUGGCCAGGCACAGUGUCUCACGCUUGUAAUCCUAGCACUUUGGGAGGCCGAGGCGGGUAGAUCACCUGAGGUCAGGAGUUCUAUACCAGCAUGGACAACAUGGCGAAAUCCCGUCUCUACUAAAAAUAUAAAAAUUAGCCAGGCAUGGUAGCGCAUGCCUGUAAUCCCACCUACUCGGGAAGCUGAGAAUCGUUUGAACCCGGGAGGUGGAGGUUGCAGUGAGCUGAGAUUGCACCACCACACUCCAGCCUGUGCAACGGGAGUGAGACUCCAUCUCAAGAAAAAAAAAAAAGAAAGAAAGAAAGAAAGAAAAUGUAUUGAAUUAAUGUUACUGAAAUAAGGCCAGAAAACCUAGAUUCUAUUUCUAAAUUUACCACUAACAAGUUGUAGGAACUGGGAAAGACCUUUCAUUCACUGGGACCUAGCUUCCUGUUCCAUAAAUGGAGAGAACAGAGCUGGGUCAGUGAUGGCAAUAUGUGACCACUUUCUCAUCCUAUGCCCAAGACAGAUGUGACUGUAAGACCAGGGUACCAUUUCUGCCUGAGCUCAAAGUAGGCUUCUAAUGUAGAGCUUUAUCCAGCCCCUCCCAAACAAUUGCUAUUGGCACAAAUAAAAUGCAUUUGCCACCCCUUGGCCCAACGAGCUCUCAGAUCCAUUCCAACUCUAUUUAAUUCAUGAAAAUUCUGGCCCUGGAUUUUGUCAUUUCUCUGCAGUGUUGGAAGAAAAAUAGGAACCGCUUAUCUGUGAUUCCACAGAGCAGAAUCCUGCCAGAAGCAGAUCCCUGCUGUUCUCCUGACAGAUCAUGGGCUGUGCUCAGAACUUCAGGGGCAGGGGUGUAGGGGCCUGCCACAAAUGACAGGAGGCCACGAUUCCAUUUCGUCUUCUUCCUUAACUCUGAUCCACAUGAAUGGAAAGCUUUCCUUGCUCUGACAUUACUGGAACAUCACAUAGUUCUCUUAUGAAAUGAAUCUCUAUUGCUGAAGUGGCUUGAUAUCAACAAUAAGGCAGCCAAAGAGGUACAUGGAAAAACCCCACUGUCUUCCCAUGCUGAUUGGCUUACAGGAUGAGGGGGUGAUGGAGGGCCAGUGAGUCAGAGCUAUUUCUACAGAAGACAUCCAGAAACACCAAGUUAAGUCAAGUUGCUGAGUCUGUGGUGAGCCCAAGACAGGAGGUAACAGAAGAAUGGAAAAUCAGGACAGCAUUGAAAUCUGAUGCUGAGUUGACAAGUUGCUGUCAAAUGCCAAGCACAGAGGACAGCAGGAAGUGAGCCAACUGCAGAGAGCUGAGCACCUGGCCAGAUCAUCAGGCUACCUCUGUCCAGACCUCAGCAGUGCCCAGGCCUUCACGUAGCAGUCACAGGUCACUGCAUCCUGCCAAAAAAAGGCAGUCCAUUCUUCAAGGUGUCUGUUUGAGUCUAGUGUCAAAUUACCCCAGAUUGUCAGCAAGUGCCUGUGGCCCUGGCUUGCCCUGGUAGAUGAGUCAGCCCAGCUGUGAAGAAAGCCCUGCCGGGCCCUGGGAGGCCAACGCAUGCCAGCUGAGGCAAGAAGACAGCAUCAGCCCUGAAGCCUGUGUGGACAAGGAGCCCACUCCCUAACUGAGGCCUGGGACCCCUAACCCCACCCCGACUUCAGAUGGGGCUGUGUUUCCAGGACUGCCUCAUACCCCAUUUCAAAUCAGGCUACUCAACAGUGACAUUUAGUAACAGAAAUCAUGAAGAUUCAUUAGAUGACUCAGAGAAAAAACAAACAAACACUCUCUCCAAGAAAGAGAAAUUCACAGGAAGGGGCCACAUCCAUCCAGUUCUGCCCUUCCCGUUUCUCUAGCUCAGUGGUUCUCAAAGUGUGGUCCCUGGACCAGCAGGAGUGACAGAUUUUUGCCACGACACCACUUCAGUAAUGUUAAUUAAAUAUAUUUCCAUUCUUUUAAGAGUCAACAUAGCUUAGUGAGAAGAGCAGAAGCUCUGGAGCUUGUUAGAAAUGCCCCACCCCAGACCUCUUGAAUCAGAAAUACUGGGGUGGGGCCCAGCCAUCGGUGGCCUAACCAGCCUUCCAGGCGAUUCUGAAGCCUGCUGAAGUUUGAGAACAAGGACGUCUCCAGCUGAACCAGCCACCCCUCAGGAGUAGAGGGAAUUCCUGCUCCCCGGCCCAACUUUGUUAUGGAAACCUCCCAGGACAAUCUGCAUCAGCGAGCUGAUCCUAGUCCCCAGCAGCAGGUGACAAAAGGAUCUGGCCUCAGGACUGUGUCAUCCCUAGGACGUGAUAACAGGCCAUUGUGGCUGGGGCAUAUUAGUGGGUGCAAAAGGAGAUAUAAAUCUCGUAUUUGGGAAAGGAAUGGGAGGGACUGAAGAGCAAGGAAAACUAAGCCCCUUCUUAUCUCCUCAAUGCUCAGCCACUAGAAACUCGUAAUUAGAGCUAUUAAUAGCCACCAUUUAUGUAGAAGCUGCCAUGAGCCAGGCACAGUGGGACAUACUUUACCUGUUUCAUCUCUCAGCAAAUUUUGAGGGACGUAGCUUUAUCCACCCCAUUUGAUAGAAGAAGAAACUGAGGCUCAGUGAAGCUAGACGUCUUGUUGGAGUGUGUUCUUUGCACGCAUGAGUUGGGACCCGACCUCACGUCUAAGUGGGCCAUCUUGACCACAGCACUGCCUUAAUCCAACAACCAUCGUCCCUCCCCACCCCCUCCACUCUUCAAAGGGCCUCAUCGUGGGUGAUGUGGGGCCAGACUAAGACCAGGAAUGUGGACUUUCUCACACAUAGUAGGUGCUUAACAGAUGGUAGUGCUCUCUCCUUGCCUCUUUGGACACCCACAAUGGAGUGAUUCAGAGCCCAAGUUUUGGGCAGAUUGUACAUGCAUGGGCUAAAUGGGCUCUGAGAGUCAGCAUCCAGCUUCACAAAACAGGAAUAAUGAUAGCUGCCUCCCGGGGAUGUUAUGGAGAUGCAAUCUGCUAUGUCUAUAGCUAUGUCUAUAAAGCUAUGUCUAUAAAGCAC